This 465-nucleotide ribosomal RNA is filed under the name uncultured bacterium. RNAcentral describes it as "partial 16S ribosomal RNA". It matches the Rfam family "Bacterial small subunit ribosomal RNA", at positions 28 to 507 of the family's 1533-position model. The record is from RNAcentral.
GACGAACGCUGGCGGCGUGCUUAACACAUGCAAGUCGAGCGGAAAGGCCCUGCUUGCAGGGUACUCGAGUGGCGAACGGGUGAGUAACACGUGGGUGAUCUGCCCUGCACUUCGGGAUAAGCUUGGGAAACUGGGUCUAAUACCGGAUAGGACCGCACUUUAGUGUGUGUGGUGGAAAGUUUUUUCGGUGUAGGAUGAGCUCGCGGCCUAUCAGCUUGUUGGUGGGGUAAUGGCCUACCAAGGCGGCGACGGGUAGCCGGCCUGAGAGGGUGUACGGCCACAUUGGGACUGAGAUACGGCCCAGACUCCUACGGGAGGCAGCAGUGGGGAAUAUUGCACAAUGGGCGCAAGCCUGAUGCAGCGACGCCGCGUGGGGGAUGAAGGCCUUCGGGUUGUAAACUCCUUUCGCUAGGGACGAAGCUUUUUGUGACGGUACCUAGAUAAGAAGCACCGGCUAACUACGUG